GUUUCCAUAGGUGAACCUGCGGAAGGAUCAUUGUCGAAGCCUGCCCAGCAGAACGACCCGCGAACUUGUAUAAACAACCGGGGGCAGGGGCGAUCUCGCCCCGUGCCCUCGAACGGCAUGGAGACACUCGUGCCUUCUUGUCGAACAACGACCCCCGGCGCGGUCUGCGCCAAGGAACUUCAAUUAAAUAGUGCCUCCGGUCGCCUCGGAAACGAUGCGCGUGUCGGAGGCGAAUCUUGUACAAAACCAUAACGACUCUCGGCAACGGAUAUCUCGGCUCUC
RNAcentral lists this unclassified non-coding RNA (282 nucleotides) under plant metagenome. RNAcentral describes it as "partial contains small subunit ribosomal RNA, internal transcribed spacer 1, and 5.8S ribosomal RNA". The record is from RNAcentral.